AGUAACACGUGGAUAACCUACCUAUAAGACUGGGAUAACUUCGGUAAACCGGAGCUAAUACCGGAUAAUAUAUUGAACCGCAUGGUUCAAUAGUGAAAGACGGUUUUGCUGUCACUUAUAGAUGGAUCCGCGCUGCAUUAGCUAGUUGGUGAGGUAACGGCUUACCAAGGCAACGAUGCGUAGCCGACCUGAGAGGGUGAUCGGCCACACUGGAACUGAGACACGGUCCAGACUCCUACGGGAGGCAGCAGCG
This 253-nucleotide ribosomal RNA is filed under the name uncultured Staphylococcus sp. RNAcentral's name for it is "partial 16S ribosomal RNA". It matches the Rfam family "Bacterial small subunit ribosomal RNA", at positions 109 to 356 of the family's 1533-position model. The record is from RNAcentral. Lineage: Bacteria; Bacillati; Bacillota; Bacilli; Caryophanales; Staphylococcaceae.